Molecule: ribosomal RNA, 120 nt
Filed under: Pteropus alecto (black flying fox)
Lineage: Eukaryota; Metazoa; Chordata; Mammalia; Chiroptera; Pteropodidae
Source: RNAcentral
GUCUAUGGAUAUGCUACCCCGAACAAACCCAAUAUCCGUCUGAUCUCGGAAGCUAAGUAGGGUUGGGCCUGAUUAAUACUUGGAUGGGAGACCACCUACGAAGACCAGGUGCUGUAGGCA